CACUCUGGUGGCUUAGUGAUUAGAGUGUCCGCCUCGGAUGUGGGUAGUUGUGGAUUCAAUCCCCGGUCGAGUCA
This is a non-coding RNA of Potamilus streckersoni, 74 nucleotides long. The record is from the annotation of a GenBank genome assembly. NCBI's taxonomy places the organism in Eukaryota, Metazoa, Mollusca, Bivalvia, Unionida, Unionidae.